Molecule: long non-coding RNA, 3477 nt
Organism: Marmota monax (woodchuck)
Lineage: Eukaryota; Metazoa; Chordata; Mammalia; Rodentia; Sciuridae
Exons: 2
Source: RefSeq, a predicted model, not a curated record
AGAGGACAGGGAGAAAGAGAGAGGGGUGGACCCUGCUGGAUGGAGAUUCUGUUUUCUCCUUGCUAAAAUAGAAGUGAUUUGCAGGCUUUCCCUAUGGAAUCCAGUUUGACUCUCCCCAGAGCUAAACACAGGCACACUAACCCCAAAGGGAGGAGGCGGGGCUCAAGCCUCAAAGCCCCGCCCCUUCUUUGCAUAACGUCAUUCUUCCGCCUCGCCGCAGCCAAUCGCCGCUGAGGAUCUGUCUUGCUCACGGAGCCAGGCCACGCUCCCUCAUUAACAUCCUUCUCCUGGUGGCGCGGAGAAGCCGGGCAAAGUUCCUUGCAAAGUGGCGAGCGAGGGAGCGCUGAGCAAGGCGUCUGGGCUGGGGAGGAGUCGGGUCGACUGAAGCGGAAAAGGGGACAGAAGGAAGGAGAGGGGGGUAUCCUUUCCAGGGAUUUGAGCUGGAGAUCUGCAUCCCGGCUAUUGCUGUCCCUUAGCAUCCUUGCUGCGCCCUGGGCGCGCUCGAGGCAUACAGGCUUCGUUCUCCCAGGGCUGAUGCCACGUCCUGCUCCGCAGUCCUGGGACGUCGGGGGCAAAAGUGGAGGAGACAGGAGAGCCCAGACAGAAAAAGCAGGACGCGUGUCCCAGGUGCGGCACGAUCCAGAAAUCCAGAAGAGUCGCCCCGAAACCUGAAGUCUGAGGCGGGGGCGGGGAUGGACCGAGGCCCAUCAGCUGCCCGCAGGGAAAGGGAUGAGUCGGUGGCAACCCAGCGUCUGGGAAAGCCAGACCUGCCCCUGCGCAGCUCUGUGAGCGCCUGGGUUCCGCACUCCAGACGCGGACAAGAGCGGUCCAUCACCGGGUCCACCAGCCAGCAAAACCCUAACCCUUUCCCUCGGUGACCUCACCCUCAGCUCUUGGGGAACGCGUGGGAGCUGCAGGCCACAGUUCCACCGGAAAUCCGGACUCUGACCCCAGUUUCCGACUUCUGCGAUCUGCGGAGCCCCUUUGCUCACGCAGUCUGACACUACCAAUCUCAGGAGCGCACCUCCCACCGCAGUACAGGCGGGGGGACUGAGGCCUAGAGAAGGACAAAGGUGCCCACAGACAGGAGGUAGAGACACGUGGGAGAGCUUAGUUUGCUAGGAGCAGGAGCCUGGGGCAAGGGGUUCUGACAAAUCUCUCUCGGGUUUCCCCGGGGCCGGGGUGGGGUGGGGUGGGGCGUCCCAGAUAAUAAUAGAUAAUUUGUCGAAGACUUUACCAGCAUAAAUUCACUGAAUUUCCAUCACAGAUCAAGAAAACAGAUAAGGUCACUCCCAUUUUACAGGUGGGGAAACUGAGAAUCUAUGAGGAAAGUGUUAAAAAAAAAAAGUGUCCAAUACACUACACAGCUAGUACAGUUGCCCACCACAAUUCUCCAGGACCUGCGCUUUAACCUGGGAGCCAAACCAUUGGCAGAGUGAGUCUCCUACCCCAGAAUGCUCAUGGGUUCCUUGGCUUUCCUUCCCCAGGGUCUGGGUUCCGUAUUCAGGUCCACGAAAGAGAUCGCGCAAGCCCCCUCCCACGGUGGGGGGUCGGACUUACAGCAGAGGAGAGAAAGAGGGUGCUGGGGAGUUCCCAAGAAAAGUCCUAAAGAGUGAUCCGACUGAAUGCGCAUUCACGCUGUCAGCUACGACUAUGCUUCUCUCCCGGCCCUACAGGGACAGGGAGCACCUGGGGCAUCCAGCGCCAGCCCUUGACUGUUACAUUUACUUGGCCUCCAGUCGGUCGUUUGUCCCAGUCCUAGCUGAGGUCUUAGAGUUCAUACAAGCUUUCCCGAAAGAAACAAGCUAAACACAGGACUUUUGGGGGGGGACAUCGGUUCGUCUAUCAGAGGACGGAAAUCUAGACACCUGCGAAUGUGCUUUAAUUGGGGUAGAAGAUGAUUCUCCCUUGUCGUGACCAUACGUAGCUAAAAGUUCAAGUUAUUUUGAGUCCGGAGAAUACAGUUGGGGACACAGCCGGGAAUUAUCUCAUAGGUCCAAAGCUGUCAGAGAGCAUCCCGAAACUCACCCUUCGGCCCUUGUCCAUAGUCUAGGACCUUGAAAUCCCGCUUCCUCAAUAGAAGGCACUUCGGAGGUGGGAGAACAGAGCUUUCCAGCAGUUUGGAAAUUAGCAUCCCCUACAUAGCGCAAACUCUAGUAAAAGAAACUUGGGCCUGCGGAGUUUUGGAGAGGAACAGAGGAAUCGACCGGUUUAUUUACUUAGGAGAAGCGGGGGGUGGAGGAGGGAGGGCAAGUUUAGCAGGAGCGCUAGAGGUGACCGGGUGAAAAAAAAAAUUGCGCUCGUAUUUCCUUUGAGGCACAACUCCCUAGAUAUUUCCCAACACUGAGCGCUGUCCGCCUUUGCUAUCUUUGUUUGAGAGAUGCUUAUGAUUCGAGUGUGCAAAUACGUUCCCAACGAAGGGUGGCUGCAUAUUUUGUGGGUCUGUACAGUCCGUGUGUGUGUGCUGGGAAGUGACAGCGUGCACUUAGCUGUUUGCGUGCGCUUGUGCUGGAGGAGGUAGAGGUACACACAAGCAAGAGCACACAUGUAUGUGGAUAGUGUGUGCGUGUGUCACGAGUCUAACUUGUGUAAGUGCAGUGCGUAUGGACAGAAGUACUGUCUGUUGUGCAACAGCAUCAUACACAUGUGUAGAACCUGAGUUCGUACAUGAUUCGUGUGCACAUUUGUGCGUGUGAAACCUAGCAAAGAACUCCUAAAAACUUAAGCCCGGCCAGAAGAAAGUUUAGCAGGCUGAAUGCUGCUGACUGAGGGGCCAAGGGCAGGCUGGUCCCUUGGUUUUGCAGGUGCGGGGAACCUCCUGUGGAGCGCAGAACGCUCUCAGAGUCUGCAGGUUAGCGCCCAGCUCAGCUCUUGGCCGGCAAGGCCGGUCCCCCUGUCGGCCAGCAAUUAGGAGGACUGAGAUCGCAAUAGUCCCUGCUGGACAGUUCCGAGCUCUUGAUCAUUUCUUGAGGACAGUUUCUGGUUAUUGAUGCGGUGUGUCCUAAAAGAAACCGCUUUAGGAUUAUUCGCUUGUGUAUUUAUUCUGUUUAACACUGUUAUUAUUUGGUGCCCGCGGUGAAGACGGUGCUAAACCUACCAAGAAGUCUCGGCCCCACCUCGGUGCGCAACUCUGAGCGCGUGAGAGAUCUGCGAAUGCCAGAAUCUUCUCUUAUGAUGGAGCCAUAGCGCCACCUAGUGUCUCCUAGCGUCCCCCGCGUUACCGCCACGAAGGUUGGGACCUUCCUACCGCUGAUUUCCCAUUCACUUUCACUAUUUCUCUUCGAGUAAGCCUGCAAACACGCCUUGUGGCUGCCCCUUUGAACACCGCCAAAAUGCCCCUUUCUCCACCUGGCAAAGGGGAGAUGGAACUCAAAGGGCAUCUUUCAAACCCUUCUAAGGCUCAUGUCUGUCCCUAGUCCCUAAUACUCAUAUCACAUCGGACAAUAUUAUUUAAUAAAGAAAAUAUUGUUUUCUCUA